Molecule: ribosomal RNA, 890 nt
Filed under: uncultured archaeon
Lineage: Archaea
Description: bacterial SSU rRNA
Rfam family: Archaeal small subunit ribosomal RNA
Source: RNAcentral
CGCCGUAUCGGAGUCGCUAGCCAUGCGAGUCGAUGUAGCAAUACAUGGCGUACUGCUCAGUAACACGUGGAUAACCUGCCCUUGGGUCCGGCAUAACCCCGGGAAACUGGGGAUAAUUCCGGAUAACGCACAUAUGCUGGAAUGCUUUAUGCGUCAAAUGGAUUCGUCUGCCCAAGGAUGGGUCUGCGGCCUAUCAGGUAGUAGUGGGUGUAAUGUACCUACUAGCCGACGACGGGUACGGGUUGUGAGAGCAAGAGCCCGGAGAUGGAUUCUGAGACAUGAAUCCAGGCCCUACGGGGCGCAGCAGGCGCGAAAACUUUACAAUGCGGGAAACCGUGAUAAGGGGACACCGAGUGCCAGCAUCAUAUGCUGGCUGUCCAGGUGUGUAAAAUACACCUGUCAGCAAGGGCCGGGCAAGACCGGUGCCAGCCGCCGCGGUAACACCGGCGGCCCGAGUGGUGAUCGUGAUUAUUGGGUCUAAAGGGUCCGUAGCCGGUUUGGUCAGUCCUCCGGGAAAUCUGACGGCUCAACCGUUAGGCUUUCGGGGGAUACUGCCAGGCUUGGAACCGGGAGAGGUAAGAGGUACUACAGGGGUAGGAGUGAAAUCUUGUAAUCCCUGUGAGACCACCUGUGGCGAAGGCGUCUUACCAGAACGGGUUCGACGGUGAGGGACGAAAGCUGGGGGCACGAACCGGAUUAGAUACCCGGGUAGUCCCAGCCGUAAACGAUGCUCGCUAGGUGUCAGGCAUGGCGCGACCGUGUCUGGUGCCGCAGGGAAGCCGUGAAGCGAGCCACCUGGGAAGUACGGCCGCAAGGCUGAAACUUAAAGGAAUUGGCGGGGGAGCACAACAACGGGUGGAGCCUGCGGUUUAAUUGGAGUCAACGCCGGG